GCAGUCGAACGAUGAACUCCAGCUUGCUGGAGGGAUUAGUGGCGAACGGGUGAGUAACACGUGAGUAACCUGCCCUUGACUCUGGGAUAAGCGUUGGAAACGACGUCUAAUACCGGAUAUGAGCUGUGACGGCAUCGUCUGCAGUUGGAAAGAUUUUUUGGUCAAGGAUGGACUCGCGGCCUAUCAGGUAGUUGGUGAGGUAAUGGCUCACCAAGCCGACGACGGGUAGCCGGCCUGAGAGGGUGACCGGCCACACUGGGACUGAGACACGGCCCAGACUCCUACGGGAGGCAGCAGUGGGGAAUAUUGCACAAUGGGCGAAAGCCUGAUGCAGCAACGCCGCGUGAGGGACGACGGCCUUCGGGUUGUAAACCUCUUUUAGUAGGGAAGAAGCGAAAGUGACGGUACCUGCAGAAAAAGCACCGGCUAACUACGUGCCAGCAGCCGCGGUAAUACGUAGGGUGCAAGCGUUGUCCGGAAUUAUUGGGCGUAAAGAGCUCGUAGGCGGUUUGUCGCGUCUGCUGUGAAAUCUGGGGGCUCAACCCCCAGCCUGCAGUGGGUACGGGCAGACUAGAGUGCGGUAGGGGAGAUUGGAAUUCCUGGUGUAGCGGUGGAAUGCGCAGAUAUCAGGAGGAACACCGAUGGCGAAGGCAGAUCUCUGGGCCGUAACUGACGCUGAGGAGCGAAAGCAUGGGGAGCGAACAGGAUUAGAUACCCUGGUAGUCCAUGCCGUAAACGUUGGGAACUAGAUGUAGGGGCCAUUCCACGGUUUCUGUGUCGCAGCUAACGCAUUAAGUUCCCCGCCUGGGGAGUACGGCCGCAAGGCUAAAACUCAAAGGAAUUGACGGGGGCCCGCACAAGCGGCGGAGCAUGCGGAUUAAUUCGAUGCAACGCGAAGAACCUUACCAAGGCUUGACAUAUACCGGAAACGUCCAGAGAUGGUCGCCCCGCAAGGUCG
Molecule: ribosomal RNA, 958 nt
Filed under: Frondihabitans peucedani
Lineage: Bacteria; Bacillati; Actinomycetota; Actinomycetes; Micrococcales; Microbacteriaceae
Description: bacterial SSU rRNA
Rfam family: Bacterial small subunit ribosomal RNA
Source: RNAcentral